AUUGAACGCUGGCGGAACGCUUUACACAUGCAAGUCGAACGGUAGAGGGGGCAACCCCUCGAGAGUGGCGAACGGGUGAGUAAUAUAUCGGAACGUGCCCAGUCGUGGGGGAUAACGUAGCGAAAGUUGCGCUAAUACCGCAUACGAUCUAAGGAUGAAAGCGGGGGAUCGCAAGACCUCGCGCGAUUGGAGCGGCCGAUAUCAGGUUAGGUAGUUGGUGGGGUAAAGGCUCACAAAGUCAACGAUCUGUAGCUGGUCUGAGAGGACGACCAGCCAAACUGGAACUGAGACACGGUCCAGACUCCUACGGGAGGCAGCAGUGGGGGAUUUUGGACAAUGGACGCAAGUCUGAUCCAGCCAUUCCGCGUGCAGGAUGAAGGCCCUCGGGUUGUAAACUGCUUUUGUACGGAACGAAAAGGUCUCUCUUAAUACGGGGGACUCAUGACGGUACCGUAAGAAUAAGCACCGGCUAACUACGUGCCAACAGCCGCGGUAA
This 496-nucleotide ribosomal RNA is filed under the name uncultured bacterium. Its description in RNAcentral is "partial 16S ribosomal RNA". It matches the Rfam family "Bacterial small subunit ribosomal RNA", at positions 30 to 523 of the family's 1533-position model. The record is from RNAcentral.